GGGCAGUGGCGGCUGCUUACACAUGCAGUCGAACGAUGAUGCCCAGCUUGCUGGGUGGAUUAGUGGCGAACGGGUGAGUAACACGUGAGUAACCUGCCCUUGACUUCGGGAUAACUCCGGGAAACCGGGGCUAAUACCGGAUAUGAGCCGCCCUCGCAUGGGGGUGGUUGGAAAGUUUUUCGGUCAGGGAUGGGCUCGCGGCCUAUCAGCUUGUUGGUGGGGUGAUGGCCUACCAAGGCGACGACGGGUAGCCGGCCUGAGAGGGCGACCGGCCACACUGGGACUGAGACACGGCCCAGACUCCUACGGGAGGCAGCAGUGGGGAAUAUUGCACAAUGGGCGAAAGCCUGAUGCAGCGACGCCGCGUGAGGGAUGAAGGCCUUCGGGUUGUAAACCUCUUUCAGCAGGGAAGAAGCGCAAGUGACGGUACCUGCAGAAGAAGCGCCGGCUAACUACGUGCCAGCAGCCGCGGUAAUACGUAGGGCGCAAGCGUUGUCCGGAAUUAUUGGGCGUAAAGAGCUCGUAGGCGGUUUGUCGCGUCUGGUGUGAAAACUCGAGGCUCAACCUCGAGCUUGCAUCGGGUACGGGCAGACUAGAGUGCGGUAGGGGAGACUGGAAUUCCUGGUGUAGCGGUGGAAUGCGCAGAUAUCAGGAGGAACACCGAUGGCGAAGGCAGGUCUCUGGGCCGCAACUGACGCUGAGGAGCGAAAGCAUGGGGAGCGAACAGGAUUAGAUACCCUGGUAGUCCAUGCCGUAAACGUUGGGCACUAGGUGUGGGGCUCAUUCCACGAGUUCCGUGCCGCAGCAAACGCAUUAAGUGCCCCGCCUGGGGAGUACGGCCGCAAGGCUAAAACUCAAAGGAAUUGACGGGGGCCCGCACAAGCGGCGGAGCAUGCGGAUUAAUUCGAUGCAACGCGAAGAACCUUACCAAGGCUUGACAUGCACGAGAAGCCACCAGAGAUGGUGGUCUCUUUGGACACUCGUGCACAGGUGGUGCAUGGUUGUCGUCAGCUCGUGUCGUGAGAUGUUGGGGUUAAGUCCCGCAACGAGCGCAACCCUCGUCCCAUGUUUGCCGCGGGGUUAUGCCCGGGGAAUCCAGGGGAAAAUUGCCGGGGUCAACUCCGAAGAAAGGUGGGGGAUAGAAUUCAAAUCAUCCUGGCGCCUUAUUGUUUUGGGGUUUCCCCCAGGCUACAAAGAGCGCGGGACAAAAGGGUUGCGAAACCCUUAAGGUGGAGAGCAAAUCCUCCAAAAACCCGGCUCCACUUUCGGAGAUGGGGUUCGCAACCUCCGACCCCCCGAAGAUGCAGAUCCCCCUUUUAAUUCGAAGAUACACACAACCUCGCGUGA
This 1347-nucleotide ribosomal RNA is filed under the name Cellulosimicrobium funkei. Its description in RNAcentral is "bacterial SSU rRNA". It matches the Rfam family "Bacterial small subunit ribosomal RNA", at positions 31 to 1365 of the family's 1533-position model. The record is from RNAcentral. Lineage: Bacteria; Bacillati; Actinomycetota; Actinomycetes; Micrococcales; Promicromonosporaceae.